Molecule: long non-coding RNA, 3289 nt
Filed under: Salmo salar (Atlantic salmon)
Lineage: Eukaryota; Metazoa; Chordata; Actinopteri; Salmoniformes; Salmonidae
Description: lncRNA (ENSSSAG00000102474.1)
Source: RNAcentral
AACGAGGGUACCCAACAUGAACUCGCGCCAGAGUCUAAUCGGCCAUCACCGUUCCAUGGCUCUUGUUCGGUCAGAUCUCACAGUAAAAGACUCAAAACACUUUGUAAAGGCUGGUGACAUCUAGUGGAAGCAAUAGGAAGUGCCAAAACAUUAAUCAACCCCUGUGUGUUUCAAUGGCAUAGGCUUAAAGGUAAUUCAACACAUCAGGUAUCCACUUCCUGUCAGAAAAUGUCUCAGGGUUUUGCCUGCCAAAUGAGUUCUGUUAUACUCACAGACACCAUUCAAACAGUUUUAGAAACUUUAGGGUGUUUUCUAUCCAUAUAUAAUAAGUAUAUGCAUAUUCUAGUUACUGGGUAGGAUUAGUAACCAGAUUAAAUCGGGUACGUUUUUUUAUCCAGCCGUGAAAAUACUGCCCCCUAGCCCCAACAGGAUAAGAGCUUCUGCUAAAUGACUAAUCUAAAUGUGGAGACUACCAUGGGGCUAUGGGUUAGUAUAUUAAAUAUUUAGUUUGUUACCCUAUUUCUCUCUCAUAAUACCUGUAACAGCAAUUGCCAUGUUCAUUGCCUUUGCAUUCUCUUACUCACCUCUUGCCUAAACAUCAGACUGUGACCGUGUUUACCCCAUGGUUAUUCAGUGUGAAAGAAGUCGCCCUAAAAAAGACGCAAGAGUCUCUACAAGCCAGAAUGUUGAAUACAAUUAUAUUUACACUUACCGGUUGUCCAUGCUGUUGGUCCUUUUGACAGUAGGAAGUGGAGAUACAAUAUCCACAGGAAAGUAUUGUUUACCCGACUUUUUGCGGCGACAGAAUUCGCUUGUAUUUUCAAUCUCCCGAGGCAUUGUUGCACAUUAUGUAAACAGUAGCCGAACGUUGUCGACCGAAACACGUUCCCUCGCAGUCAGCUGGGUAUAAUUUGUGGAACGUUCCAACAGGAAUCUGUUCCAAAAAGUUCGUAAAUAACAAGGUUGCCAGCAAACAACGGAUACAAAAUUGUAUAGCGUCAGAAUAAGAUACCGGGUAGAGAGUGGGCUACUUCAUUAAGUUUUUCACUCACCACGUUUAUUCCGAAAAAUGUCUGUCCUCACUGGACAACCGAGGUAAAGACAGUUCAAGUUGGAUAUUCGCGCUUUCAAACCACUUGAGCCACAGACUCCAAAUAAGUGUCAUGAUGUUGGAAAAAUUGCGCACAACAUUGCACAGGUCUUAUUUUCACGAUUUGGACAUUACUUCGCUUUCCAAAGCUAAUAAACAUGUGCAAAUGUGAGCAGCAUUUUGUAUUCCAAGUUGAAUUAGUUAGGGAGCGUAAACAAAGUACAAACUUUUUUUACAUUCAAAUUUCAAUAGCUCCUUGGUCAUGUGGCCUACUGACUUCAAACAAGGUGCAGAAUAUCCACUCAGUGGCCAUACACAUUGCACACCCUUUAGUUUGUCCAUUUUCAUCUCAUAUGGUUUUACAUAAAUUUUUCCAAAUGUAGAAUUUCAAUAGCUCCUUGGUCAUGUGACCUAAUGACUUUAAACAAGGUGCAGUAUGUCCACUGACUACCCUUCUAUAUUGCACACCCUUUAGUUUGUCUAUUUUCAUCUCACAUGGUUUUACAUUAAUUUUUAAAAAUGGUUGAAUUUCAAUAGCUCCUUGGUCAUCUGACCUGGUGACUUCAAACAAGGUUCAAAAUGUCCACUCAGUGGGUCUACACAUUGCACACCCUUAAGUUUGUCCAUUUUCAUCUCACAUGGUUUUACAUGAAUUUUUCAAAAUGUAAAAUUUCAAUAGCUCCUUGGUCAUGUGACCUAAUGUCCGCUGACUACCCUUCUAUAUUGCACACUCAUGUUUGUGUACUGUAAAAUCAUGCGGUGUAACAUACAUUUUUUAUAGUUUCACAUUUGCAAUAGCUCCUUGGUCAUGUCAACUACACACCUAAGAAGCAUGCAGUGGAUAUACACCCAUAUUGCAUAACCUCUAGUCAUGUAUCUUCUAUAUUGUUGUACAUUAAUAUUAGUUUGACAGUUAGGGGGUUCAGUCCAGUGUUGUGUUUACCCUUUUCUUUAUAUUUAUCUAUAAUAAUUGGUAGUUCUAAGUACUUAUUUUCCCUGUUUUUUAUUUUUCCACAGUAUUUAACAGUGGUACACAAUAGAGAGACAGAUAAUAUCUCCUUUCGUCAUUAAUAUCAACCAUAAAGGAAAAGGGCAAAGUAUGAGAGUCAUGUUAUUAAUUGUUCAAAGCAGGGAUGGAGAGUGAGCUAGUGAGGUAGGCUGCAGUGGGUUUGCUGGUCAAUGCAUAUACUGAACAUGUAACCACAGUAAUGGUGGCCAGUAAAUCAAUGAAUAAAAAUGUAAUAUUGGCAAAUUAAACAGAAAUUGUAGACCUUUAAUCUUUUCCAACAUGUCAGACACUUAAUUCAAGUCUGAAACAUUUCACAGUGUUAACUUUCUCCCUGGUUGAUGUACAUUUCAGAGCCUCUUCAGUGUGGAUUUGUAUUUAUUUAACUAGGCAAGUCAGUUAAGAACAAAUUCUUAUUUUCAAUGAGGGCCUAGGAACAGUGGGUUAACUGCUUUGUUCAGGGGCAGAACGACAGAUUUGUACGUUGUCAGCUCGGGGAUUCGAACUCGCUCUAACCACUAGGCUACACUGGGGUAUAGCAUACAUUUUCAACAACAAAGACUGCACUUCCAGUUUGUGUUCUUUACUCUGUUGAACUCUUUUGUCUUCAUUCCUAGGCACAGCACAUGGAACCACCGUCGGCAUGCAAAACAUUCAAUCUAAAACAAAACAAAGCGUAACACGUUAUAAAUAAUAUCAAAUAUCAAUGCAGUAUGACAAAUGAUGAAUUAGCUAUCCAUUGUGUUAUAUCAUAAAUUGUCUUACAUGCCGUCACUGUUGUCAAAAGAUUAUGAACAUGUUAAAUAAAGUUACUAACCCAGUCAGUCUUUGGGCCACAUCCAGGUUCUUUAUCAGUGGCACACGUGAAGCAGUUGUUGGCUUUGUUGAACUCUGAAAUCAUAGGCAUGAACUGAACAUAUGGCUGUCCCACACAACUACAUAAAAAUAAAGAAUUUACAUUUACUUUGAAUUAAAUGUCAUUACAUACCAGACAUUUUUAGUAUAUCCUCAGCCAUUUCUUUUUGCAGUUGCUCCAUGUGUUUUUGAAGGUUCCAUAUGCAUUUGGGAGGGGAUGUUGGAAGUUCUGUGCAACUUCCUUGGCCAACUACACCAAAAAAUAAAAUAGAGUUCUUGACCUAAUUGUCACAUAACAGCUAACCAUUCAUUAUUGAAAAUAUAACUAUCAAACCUGC